GGUAACAUGUUUAUGUCCAGCCCCACAGGAAGCAGAGGAGAGAGCAGAAAACUCAGCCUGAGGACGCAGCCCAGUUCUCCCAAGUCACCGGUCCAGGAAACAGGGAUGUGAGCACUGGUGGAAGAUGUUUCUGGUGUGGGAAUGAGCUGCGUUCUCCAAUUAUGAUAGAGCUCUGGGAGCUGUUUAAUAACUGCUGUACUCUGAAUCACUGAACACAUUCACCUAUAUGAAAAACACCCUGCUGUAGUGAAAUGUGUGCCAUCAAACCUACAGAAGGGAAGAGACAGUUCUGGUCUGAGAAGUCAGCAUCUCCUCCAUGUGUGUUCCAUGGGAGAUGCAUUUGAAGGGCAGGAUGUUCCCUGAAGACCGGCUUCACCCUGUCACUCGGAAUGCAUGAGCACUGUCAGCGCACUGGACUGAGGACAAUUCUCCUUCCUAGUGGGGGGAUGAAAGUGUUGGCACUCUCCUUGACACUCAUAAAACUGGGGCCACUAAGUAAAAAGCCCUAUAAACUUGCAAGGGCUUGAUAUUAUUACAUAAUGAUGGUGAUAGCAAUAAUACUUUGUGUUUAUGCAGCAUUCAAAGGUUUGGGAAGCUUUUACACAUUGAUUAUUUUAAGAAUUACCCCCCCCAACUUUAUUGAAAUAUAAUUGGGAAAUAAAACCUGUAAAGGUGUAUAUUGUGAAUGUAUGUAUGAAAUA
Onychomys torridus (southern grasshopper mouse) is the source of this 701-nucleotide long non-coding RNA. RefSeq lists it as uncharacterized. Lineage: Eukaryota; Metazoa; Chordata; Mammalia; Rodentia; Cricetidae. The transcript is spliced from 3 exons. The record is from RefSeq and is a predicted model, not a curated record.